Molecule: long non-coding RNA, 2660 nt
Filed under: Sus scrofa (pig)
Lineage: Eukaryota; Metazoa; Chordata; Mammalia; Artiodactyla; Suidae
Description: lncRNA (ENSSSCG00015054289.1)
Source: RNAcentral
ACUCUCCAAGACGCAAGGUUACACGGAUUCAGGGAUUGGCAGUCGCCUGUCCUCCUAAAACAUCUAUGGUUAAUCUUCUUGCCUUUCAGUAGCGAGCCCAGAUGGAACCUACACAAAGAACCAGAGAGCAUGGGGUUGGGGUGUGUUUGGAAAAAGCCAGCAAAGGCAUUUUAACUGAGGUUCAGGAGAGGUCUGUUCAAGAUGAGCUCUCCAACUUGGUGAUCUAGUGCAAGUCAGUUCCUUCCCAGCACAUUGUAAGCACUUUAUAUUUAUAUAUAAAUUCUAUAGUAAAGUGUGUGUAUGUGUACAUAAGAAAAUCACAUAUCCGUUAUAUAUAUUUGUACAAGUUGUACAUGUGCAUAUGUAGAUAAAUAAAUUUAUUUGCAUAUGUAUUAUGUGUUUGUAUUGAAGACGGUGUCCGAGCUAGAUGAGGACCCACGCCCUUACCAGCUGGACCACGUUAGGACUGGAGCGCUGGGGACCAAAGGACGUAGCACAUCAGAGCGGUUAAAACAAACACAGAGCGGAGCCAGACUGCCAAGGUCCAUUCCAUCUUACCAACUAGUAAGUUCUUUCAUCUCCUUGUGUCUCAGUUUCCCCCACUUGUAAGCGGGAUGUAAUACUACCUCAUGGACUCAUUAGGAAGAUCCACUGAGGUGCAAUCGGCAAUGCCCCAGAAGUAGUAGCAGGCAUAGGAUUAGCUAGUGUGUUUGCUGAUUGAACAUCAGCGCAGGGCGUUGGCCUGGUCCAAGGUGCCGAUGAUCCAAAGGCCUCAGUCCUCCUGGGAAUCCCUGGCUUAUGAGACUGCAAUGGCCUCAUUCCUUCUUUGAACAAAGGCAGGUGCUCCUGAGCCAUGCUCCCUUCCAAUUCCAAAUCUCUGCUGGGAAACUCUGAACACUUACGUGCUUAGCUGAUAGCACUAAUGUUGGCUCUGACACGCCCUGAUCUGACUCUGCAGCUCACCUCAAAGGUCAGAGUUGCAGUAUCCUUCCUCGUCUCAAAAACCGGCCCUGCUCUCUCUUUCCUGUCCAUUGAUAGGGGAAUUGUUACUGUCUGUCAAGUGACCGAAGACGGGGGUCAGGUUUCAGUAGCAACUCCCAGGGGAGUUUGGGGGCUCUGGGGCAAGAGCAGAAAUGUAGCAGGAAGCUGGGAACGGGCCUGGGGGGGCAGGAGGCAGAUGCGGACCGUGGCCUUCAAGUCUGCCCUGGGCUCGCUGUGGCCAGGGGCGGGGCCUGCUCCAGGCCUCUCCUCUUCUGACUCUUCACCGGGCCCUGAAGCUGCAGGAAGUCUGGAUGCUGCCCCCCGUAUAAGGCCAUUCUCUGCACUAGAAACAGUGGAUCUAGGGCUCCUGGGUGUGUCCAGGCCACGGGCCUUGCUGGGCCUUCUCCGGGGACAAAGACUGUCUUCCUUGAUUUCCUGCAGUCCAAUCCCUUACCUCCACGUUAGGCUGGCCCAGCUCAGCCCCUCCAGCCUGAGGCCCGCAGAGCCAGUAGCCGACAGGCAGCACAUCAGACGCCAAUUAGUUGCAAGCACUUCCAGGAGUCUCUGGUCACCACACUUCUGUCUCCUCUUCCUCUGUGUCAGAGCUGAGGUCAGGGCCUCCCUGAACCCCGGCCCGCUUUGGGGAGCAGCUCCCCCACCAGCAGCCAUGGUGGCCUGAUUCCAAAGUCUGGUUCUUCCCUUUUUCCCUGUUUCUUCAAACAAUGACGACUGUGUAUAUGGUUCUUUCCCCAACCUCAAUCUGGUAGAAGAGCCCAGACUCACGUCGCAAUCACUUUCUGCUUAGUAGAAAGGACUGGGAACAGAACUAAACUGUGCUGUGACACGUGAGGGAACAGGAGCAAUCGCCGCACCUAUCACUCUCUGUACCAUGUUCUCUCCAUUCAGCUCCAGGAUAAAUUUACCAGAGAAACCACAGAUACCCAGUUGCAUUUGAAUUUCAGAUAGAACAGGGAAAAAAACUUGGCUUAAGUAACAUCCGUGCAGUAUUUGGGACCUGCUUAGACCAAAGCAGUGAUUCAUUGUUUGCUUGGAUUCGGGUUUAAAUGGGGGCUGAUAUUCGUUUUCCUGAAUUGUCCUCCCUACUCUGGGAUGAGUCAUGUGGCCUGGGGAGCAGCAGUUUCCUCUGAGUUCCUCUCUAAGGCUGACACUGAUGCCUCUGGGGCCUUUGCAGCCAGCCUCCUGUUGAAGGGAGCUCACGCAAAGAUGAGCCAGGGUGGAAGAGCUGUGUCUGAGAAGCCACUGGCUCCACUCUGGGAUCAGCCAGAGGCUGCCCCUGGAAAUGGGAAGCCCCUUUGCAUCUCCGGAGGCAAAGGUUCCGGAAGAACCAAGAGGAGCUGAGGCUUUUCCACUCAACACUCAGGGCCCAGCACACACCAUAAAACCAGGAGACUCCGACGGCUUCCAUGAGCACAGCAAAUAGGAUGGCCUUCCCGCCCCACGCGUGUCCAGCAGGGUCAGCACGUACAUUCCGCCCUGGGGCAUGGACAGAGAGCCUGAAAUGGCCCCUGACUGUUGCGUCCAUCAACACUGAAAUGGCUGAGCAGGAAGAUGGUGAGAUACCGGGGCUGACUUUGCUCAGAGCAGGAAAGGGAACAUCCUUUUUUUUUUUUUUUUUUUUUGCCUUUUUAUGGCCACAGCUGCGGAAUACAGAAUUUCCA